CCUACGGGAGGCAGCAGUGGGGAAUUUUGGACAAUGGGGGCAACCCUGAUCCAGCCAUUCCGCGUGUGCGAUGAAGGCCUUCGGGUUGUAAAGCACUUUUGGCAGGAAAGAAAUCGCACGGGUUAAUAACCCGUGUGGAUGACGGUACCUGCAGAAUAAGCACCGGCUAACUACGUGCCAGCAGCCGCGGUAAUACGUAGGGUGCAAGCGUUAAUCGGAAUUACUGGGCGUAAAGCGUGCGCAGGCGGUUCGGAAAGAAAGGUGUGAAAUCCCAGGGCUUAACCUUGGAACUGCACUUUUAACUCCCGAGCUAGAGUAUGUCAGAGGGGGGUGGAAUUCCGCGUGUAGCAGUGAAAUGCGUAGAUAUGCGGAGGAACACCAAUGGCGAAGGCAGCCCCCUGGGAUGAUACUGACGCUCAUGCACGAAAGCGUGGGGAGCAAACAGGAUUAGAUACCCUGGUAGUCCACGCCCUAAACGAUGUCAACUAGCUGUUGGGGGCUUCGGGCCCUUAGUAGCGCAGCUACGCGUGAGUAGACCGCCGUGGGAGGUACGGUCGCGAGAAGUUAAACGUACGAAAGAAGUAGUUACGGCGUGAGACGNGCCGACGGACGACGACGAGGGAGGAGG
This 628-nucleotide ribosomal RNA is filed under the name uncultured bacterium. RNAcentral describes it as "bacterial SSU rRNA". The stretch from base 1 to 541 matches the Rfam family "Bacterial small subunit ribosomal RNA", at positions 338 to 873 of the family's 1533-position model. The record is from RNAcentral.